Molecule: ribosomal RNA, 414 nt
Filed under: uncultured Anoxybacillus sp.
Lineage: Bacteria; Bacillati; Bacillota; Bacilli; Caryophanales; Anoxybacillaceae
Description: bacterial SSU rRNA
Rfam family: Bacterial small subunit ribosomal RNA
Source: RNAcentral
UUAACCUACGGUCUUGACAUCCCUGACAACCCGAGAGAUCGGCGUUCCCCUUCGGGGGACAGGGUGACAGGUGGUGGCAUGGUUGUCGUCAGCUCGUGUCGUGAGAUGUUGGGUUAAGUCCCGCAACGAGCGCAACCCUCGACCUUAGUUGCCAGCAUUCAGUUGGGCACUCUAAGGUGACUGCCGGCUAAAAGUCGGAGGAAGGUGGGGAUGACGUCAAAUCAUCAUGCCCCUUAUGACCUGGGCUACACACGUGCUACAAUGGGCGGUACAAAGGGUCGCGAACCCGCGAGGGGGAGCCAAUCCCAAAAAGCCGCUCUCAGUUCGGAUUGCAGGCUGCAACUCGCCUGCAUGAAGCCGGAAUCGCUAGUAAUCGCGGAUCAGCAUGCCGCGGUGAAUACGUUCCCGGGCCUU